RNAcentral lists this ribosomal RNA (468 nucleotides) under uncultured bacterium. Its description in RNAcentral is "partial 16S ribosomal RNA". It matches the Rfam family "Bacterial small subunit ribosomal RNA", at positions 28 to 507 of the family's 1533-position model. The record is from RNAcentral.
GACGAACGCUGGCGGCGUGCUUAACACAUGCAAGUCGAACGGAAAGGCCCUGCUUUUGUGGGGUGCUCGAGUGGCGAACGGGUGAGUAACACGUGAGUAACCUGCCCUUGACUUUGGGAUAACUUCAGGAAACUGGGGCUAAUACCGGAUAGGAGCUCCUGCUGCAUGGUGGGGGUUGGAAAGUUUCGGCGGUUGGGGAUGGACUGGCGGCUUAUCAGCUGGUUGGUGGGGUAGUGGCUUACCAAGGCUUUGACGGGUAGCCGGCCUGGGAGGGUGACCGGCCACAUUGGGACUGAGAUACGGCCCAGACUCCUACGGGAGGCAGCAGUGGGGAAUAUUGCACAAUGGGCGGAAGCCUGAUGCAGCAACGCCGCGUGCGGGAUGACGGCCUUCGGGUUGUAAACCGCUUUCGCCUGUGACGAAGCGUGAGUGACGGUAAUGGGUAAAGAAGCACCGGCUAACUACGUG